This 433-nucleotide ribosomal RNA is filed under the name uncultured bacterium. Its description in RNAcentral is "partial 16S ribosomal RNA". It matches the Rfam family "Bacterial small subunit ribosomal RNA", at positions 29 to 507 of the family's 1533-position model. The record is from RNAcentral.
AACGAACGCUGGCGGCAUGCCUAACACAUGCAAGUCGAACGAGACCUUCGGGUCUAGUGGCGCACGGGUGCGUAACGCGUGGGAACCUGCCCUUAGGUUCGGAAUAACUCCCCGAAAGGGGUGCUAAUACCGGAUAAUGUCUUCGGACCAAAGAUUUAUCGCCUUUGGAUGGGCCCGCGUUGGAUUAGCUAGUUGGUAGGGUAAAAGCCUACCAAGGCGACGAUCCAUAGCUGGUCUGAGAGGAUGAUCAGCCACACUGGGACUGAGACACGGCCCAGACUCCUACGGGAAGCAGCAGUGGGGAAUAUUGGACAAUGGGCGAAAGCCUGAUCCAGCAAUGCCGCGUGAGUGAUGAAGGCCUUAGGGUUGUAAAGCUCAUUUACCCGGGAUGAUAAUGACAGUACCGGGAGAAUAAGCUCCGGCUAACUCCGUG